UUCGCCCUUCGGUUGAUCCUGCCGGACCUUACUGCUAUCGGGGUGGGACUAAGACAUGCGAGUCGAGCGUCUCUAGCUAUGUUGAGACGCGGCAGACGGCUCAGUAACACGUGGCUAACCUACCCUCAGGACGAGGAUAAACCCGGGAAACUGGGGCUAAUACUCGAUAGGUGAGGAUGUCUGGAAUGAUUUCUCACUCAAAGGGCCUUGGGAACAUGCUUCCAAUGUCGCCUGGGGAUGGGGCCGCGUCCGAUCAGGUUGUUGGUGAGGUAAUGGCUCACCAAGCCUAUAACCGGUACGGGCCGUGAGAGCGGUAGCCUGGAGAUGGGUAUUGAGACAAGGACCCAGGCCCUACGGGGCGCAGCAGUCGCGAAAACUCCGCAAUGCACGAAAGUGUGACGGGGCUACCCCGAGUGCCAUCCGCUGAGGGUGGCUUUUCUUUGGUGUAACCAGCCAUGGGAAUAAGGAGAGGGCAAGACUGGUGUCAGCCGCCGCGGUAAUACCAGCUCUCCGAGUGGUAGGGAUGAUUAUUGGGCUUAAAGCGUCCGUAGCCUGCUGAGCAAGUCUCCUGUUAAAUUCAGCGACCAAAUCGUUGAGCCGCGGGAGAUACUACUAAGCUAGGAGGCGGGAGAGGUCGACGGUACUUC
RNAcentral lists this ribosomal RNA (647 nucleotides) under uncultured archaeon. Its description in RNAcentral is "bacterial SSU rRNA". It matches the Rfam family "Archaeal small subunit ribosomal RNA", at positions 1 to 621 of the family's 1478-position model. The record is from RNAcentral.